Molecule: ribosomal RNA, 497 nt
Filed under: uncultured bacterium
Lineage: Bacteria
Description: partial 16S ribosomal RNA
Rfam family: Bacterial small subunit ribosomal RNA
Source: RNAcentral
GAUGAACGCUGGCGGCGUGCCUAAUACAUGCAAGUCGAGCGAACAGACGAGGAGCUUGCUCCUCUGACGUUAGCGGCGGACGGGUGAGUAACACGUGGAUAACCUACCUAUAAGACUGGGAUAACUUCGGGAAACCGGAGCUAAUACCGGAUAAUAUAUUGAACCGCAUGGUUCAAUAGUGAAAGACGGUUUUGCUGUCACUUAUAGAUGGAUCCGCGCCGCAUUAGCUAGUUGGUAAGGUAACGGCUUACCAAGGCAACGAUGCGUAGCCGACCUGAGAGGGUGAUCGGCCACACUGGAACUGAGACGCGGUCCAGACUCCUACGGGAGGCAGCAGUAGGGAAUCUUCCGCAAUGGGCGAAAGCCUGACGGAGCAACGCCGCGCGAGUGAUGAAGGUCUUCGGAUCGUAAAACUCUGUUAUUAGGGAAGAACAAAUGUGUAAGUAACUAUGCACGUCUUGACGGUACCUAAUCAGAAAGCCACGGCUAACUACGUG